GACGAACGCUGACGGCGUGCUUAACACAUGCAAGUCGAACGGAAAGGCCCUGCUUUUGUGGGGUGCUCGAGUGGCGAACGGGUGAGUGACACGUGAGUAACCUGCCCUUGACUUUGGGAUAACUUCAGGAAACUGGGGCUAAUACCGGAUAGGAGCUCCUGCUGCAUGGUGGGGGUUGGAAAGUUUCGGCGGUUGGGGAUGGACUCGCGGCUUAUCAGCUUGUUGGUGGGGUAGUGGCUUACCAAGGCUUUGACGGGUAGCCGGCCUGAGAGGGUGACCGGCCACAUUGGGACUGAGAUACGGCCCAGACUCCUACGGGAGGCAGCAGUGGGGAAUAUUGCACAAUGGGCGGAAGCCUGAUGCAGCAACGCCGCGUGCGGGAUGACGGCCUUCGGGUUGUAAACCGCUUUCGCCUGUGACGAAGCGUGAGUGACGGUAAUGGGUAAAGAAGCACCGGCUAACUACGUG
This 468-nucleotide ribosomal RNA is filed under the name uncultured bacterium. Its description in RNAcentral is "partial 16S ribosomal RNA". It matches the Rfam family "Bacterial small subunit ribosomal RNA", at positions 28 to 507 of the family's 1533-position model. The record is from RNAcentral.